GAUUAACGCUGGCGGCGUGCCUAGCACAUGCAAGUCGAACGAGGUAGCAAUACCUAGUGGCAGACGGGUGAGUAACGCGUGGUCAACCUACCGUUGAGUGGGGGAGUAACUAGCCGAAACGGUUAGCUAAUACCGCAUACGUCUCCGAGUGGCAUCACUUGGCGAUAAAAGGAGCAAUCCGCUCGAUGACGGGACCGCGUCCCAUUAGCUAGAGUGGUGGGGUAACGGCCUACCAUGGCACCGAUGGGUAGCUGGUUUGAGAGAGCGACCAGCCACACUGGGACUGAGAAACGGCCCAGACUCCUACGGGAGGCAGCAGUGAGGGAAUUUUCCGUCAAUGCGCGCAAGCCUGACGGAGCGACGCCG
This 366-nucleotide ribosomal RNA is filed under the name uncultured bacterium. RNAcentral's name for it is "bacterial SSU rRNA". It matches the Rfam family "Bacterial small subunit ribosomal RNA", at positions 28 to 399 of the family's 1533-position model. The record is from RNAcentral.